GGGCCCUCCAGAGAUGGUGUUGAUGAUCUCGAUUGGAGGCUGAUCUCCAGGCUGUUCUUCCCUCCUUGGUGGCUUCGAUUGUGGCAGGGCCCUCGAUCGAUCCUCCUUACCUUUAGGCCAGCAUCGGAUGAAUCUGUCGAGCCGACCCCGCCUGAUGAGCUCCUCGAUUUUAUCUCGGAGCUGAAUGCAUUCCUCCGUGUCGUGGCUGUGG
This 211-nucleotide long non-coding RNA is filed under the name Elaeis guineensis (African oil palm). Its description in RNAcentral is "long non-coding RNA (EGUI_LNC047044)". Lineage: Eukaryota; Viridiplantae; Streptophyta; Magnoliopsida; Arecales; Arecaceae. The record is from RNAcentral.